RNAcentral lists this ribosomal RNA (438 nucleotides) under uncultured bacterium. RNAcentral's name for it is "bacterial SSU rRNA". It matches the Rfam family "Bacterial small subunit ribosomal RNA", at positions 339 to 791 of the family's 1533-position model. The record is from RNAcentral.
CUACGGGAGGCAGCAGUGGGGAAUCUUCCGCAAUGGGCGCAAGCCUGACGGAGCAACGCCGCGUGAGUGAUGAAGGCCUUCGGGUUGUAAAACUCUGUCUUCAGGGAAGAAACAAAUGACGGUACCUGAGGAGGAAGCCACGGCUAACUACGUGCCAGCAGCCGCGGUAAUACGUAGGUGGCAAGCGUUGUCCGGAAUUACUGGGCGUAAAGAGCGCGUAGGCGGGGAUUUAAGUCAGGAGUGAAAACUACCGGCUCAACCGGUAGCCUGCUCUUGAAACUGAAUUUCUUGAGGGUAUGAGAGGAAAGCGGAAUUCCCAGUGUAGCGGUGAAAUGCGUAGAUAUUGGGAGGAACACCAGUGGCGAAGGCGGCUUUCUGGCAUACAACUGACGCUGAGGCGCGAAAGCGUGGGGAGCAAACGGGAUUAGAUACCCCGGU